UUUUUACUCACUCCGUUCAACAAAAGAUGUCUUAAAUUUGUCAAAAUUUGGAUGUGUCUAGACAUGACUUAGUGUAUAGAUGCAUUUGAAUUUGGAUAAAGUUGAGACAUCCUUUGUUCGACGGAGGGAGUAGAUG
Brachypodium distachyon (stiff brome) is the source of this 136-nucleotide non-coding RNA. NCBI's taxonomy places the organism in Eukaryota, Viridiplantae, Streptophyta, Magnoliopsida, Poales, Poaceae. The record is from Rfam.